GCAAGGAAUUUUCGUCAAUGGGGGCAACCCUGAACGAGCAACGCCGCGUGGGCGAAGAAGUCCUUCGGGAUGUAAAGCCCUUUUCCCUGGGAAGAAAGAAAGACGGUACCAGGGGAAUAAGCAUCGGCUAACUACGUGCCAGCAGCCGCGGUAAUACGUAGGAUGCAAGCGUUGUCCGGAAUUAUUGGGCGUAAAGAGCGCGCAGGCGGUGUAUCAAGUCAGAUGUGAAAUAUCCCGGCUUAACCGGGAGGGGUCAUUUGAAACUGGUAGACUAGAGUGCAGCAGAGGAUAGCGGAAUUCCCGGUGUAGUGGUGAAAUGCGUAGAUAUCGGGAGGAACACCAGUGGCGAAGGCGGCUAUCUGGGCUGCAACUGACGCUGAGGCGCGAAGGCUAGGGGAGCAAACAGG
RNAcentral lists this ribosomal RNA (407 nucleotides) under uncultured Candidatus Solibacter sp. RNAcentral describes it as "bacterial SSU rRNA". It matches the Rfam family "Bacterial small subunit ribosomal RNA", at positions 354 to 776 of the family's 1533-position model. Lineage: Bacteria; Pseudomonadati; Acidobacteriota; Terriglobia; Bryobacterales; Solibacteraceae. The record is from RNAcentral.